Cebus imitator (Panamanian white-faced capuchin) is the source of this 1183-nucleotide RNA transcript. It is a transcript of the gene named guanine nucleotide-binding protein G(s) subunit alpha-like, with no coding region annotated. The transcript has a single exon. The record is from RefSeq and is a predicted model, not a curated record. NCBI's taxonomy places the organism in Eukaryota, Metazoa, Chordata, Mammalia, Primates, Cebidae.
CUCCUGCUCUGGUCCGCCUCGGCCUGGUGGCGGCCAUCAGCCUCUUGGCCUCGGCUCAAGGGCCGGGGAGCUGCGCGCGUCGCUCGGUCUGACCGACACCACCCUCCCCUCCGUGCCGGACCGCACCCUGUGGCCCGCACCCCGUUGUCCACCCCGGGCACUCCUCGGCCAAGGGGCCCAGUCCACGCUCGCCCGCCAGCCUGGCGCUGCCCCGGCCCUCCUGGCUCGAGUCAGGCCGCCGGCGCCGCCGCUGCUGCUAUGCACUGCCUCGGGAACAGUAAGGCCGAGGACCAGCGCAACGAGGAUCAGGCGCAGCGCGAGGCCAACAAAAAGAUUGAGAAGCAGCUGCAGAAGGACAAGCAGGUCUACCGGGCCACGCACCGCCUGCUGCUGCUGGGUGCUGGAGAAUCUGGUAAAAGCACCACUGUGAAGCAGAUGAGGAUCCUGCAUGUUAAUGGGUUUAAUGGAGAUGAGAAGGCAACCAAAGUGCAGGACAUCAAAAACAACCUGAAAGAGGCUAUUGAAACCAUUGUGGCCACCAUGAGCAACCUGGUGCCCCCUGUGGAGCUGGCCAACCCUGAGAACCAGUUCAGAGUGGACUACAUUCUGAGGGUGAUGAACGUGCCUGACUUCGACUUCCCUCCCGAAUUCUACGAGCAUGCCAAGGCUCUGUGGGAGGAUGAAGGAGCGUGCCUGCUACCAACACUCCAACGAGUACCAGCUGACUGACUGCGCCCAGUACUUCCUGGACAAGAUCGAUGUGAUCAAGCAGGCCGACUAUGUGCCGAGCGACCAGGACCUGCUUCGCUGCGGCAUCCUGACUUCUGGAAUCUUUGAGACCAAGUUCCAGGUGAACAAAGUCAACUUCCACAUGUUUGACGUGGGUGGCCGGCAUGAUGAACGCCGCAAGUGGAUCCAGUGCUUCAAUGAUGUGACUGCCAUCAUCUUCGUGGUGGCCAGCAGCAGCUACAACAGGGUCAUCCAGGAGGUCAACCAGACCAACCGCCUGCAGGAGGCUCCGAACCUCUUCGAGAGCAUCUGGAACAACAGGUGGCUGCGUACCAUCUCUGUGAUUCUGUUCCUCAACAAGCAAGAUCUGCUCGCUGAGAAAGUCCUUGCUGGGAAAUUGAAGAUUGAGGACUAUUUUCCAGAAUUUGCUCGCUACACUACUCCUGAGGAUGCU